This 437-nucleotide ribosomal RNA is filed under the name uncultured bacterium. RNAcentral describes it as "partial 16S ribosomal RNA". It matches the Rfam family "Bacterial small subunit ribosomal RNA", at positions 28 to 507 of the family's 1533-position model. The record is from RNAcentral.
AGCGAACGCUGGCGGCAUGCUUAACACAUGUAAGUCGCGCGGGUGGUUUCGGCCAUCAGCGGCGGACGGGUGAGUAUCGCGUAGGAAUGUAUCCCGAGGUGGGGGACAACCCUGGGAAACUGGGGCUAAUACCGCAUGGGGCCUGUGGGUCAAAGCCUUAGGGCGCCUUGGGAGCAGCCUGCGUCCGAUUAGGUAGUUGGUGGGGUAAAGGCCUACCAAGCCUGCGAUCGGUAGCUGGUCUGAGAGGACGAUCAGCCACACUGGGACUGAGACACGGCCCAGACUCCUACGGGAGGCAGCAGUGGGGAAUAUUGGACAAUGGGCGCAAGCCUGAUCCAGCAAUGCCGCGUGGGUGAAGAAGGUCUUCGGAUUGUAAAGCCCUUUCGGCGGGGACGAUGAUGACGGUACCCGCAGAAGAAGCCCCGGCUAACUUCGUG